This 281-nucleotide ribosomal RNA is filed under the name uncultured soil bacterium. RNAcentral's name for it is "partial 16S ribosomal RNA". It matches the Rfam family "Bacterial small subunit ribosomal RNA", at positions 26 to 337 of the family's 1533-position model. The record is from RNAcentral.
AGAACGAACGCUGGCGGCAGGCUUAACACAUGCAAGUCGAGCGCCCCGCAAGGGGAGCGGCAGACGGGUGAGUAACGCGUGGGAACCUACCCAAUUCUACGGAACAACUGAGGGAAACUUCAGCUAAUACCGUAUACGCCCCAAGGGGGAAAGAUUUAUCGGAGUUGGAUGGGCCCGCGUUGGGUUAGCUAGUUGGUGGGGUAAUGGCCUACCAAGGCGACGAUCCAUAGUUGGUCUGAGAGGAUGAUCAGCCACACUGGGACUGAGACACGGCCCAGACU